Long non-coding RNA from Paramisgurnus dabryanus, 1498 nucleotides. RefSeq lists it as uncharacterized. Lineage: Eukaryota; Metazoa; Chordata; Actinopteri; Cypriniformes; Cobitidae. The record is from RefSeq and is a predicted model, not a curated record.
UGAAGUCAGUUACCAUGGAAACGAGGCUACAGGGAACAACAGAAAGCGCCAAAGCUCCGUGUCUCUAUGGUUUUCUUCACUUUUUCAGAUUUGUCCAUGCUGAUGGCCAUGCAGCAGAGUUCAAGCAAACCUGUCAGAAAACAUCUCUAAGGGGCUAUGUAUGAACCAUAUGGCUAGAUACCCAUACAAGUUACAGAAGCUCCAGUAUGGAUCCAGCCUCACUUGUAAAGACUUCAGAUGACGCCUACACUCUCAGAGACUUCAGAUGAUGGCAACUAGAUGGACAUACAAAACUGUCAAACAUUAUAUAUAUAUAUAUAUAUAUUAGGGGUGUAACGGUACGUGUAUUCGAACCGGACCGUUUCGGUUCAGGGCUUUCGGCACGGUGCACACGUGCACCGAAAGGCCGAAUGCAUUUUGUGUGCGCCUGUGCGGAACAUAAUAGGUGUGUUUCCGCACGAACAUAUUAAGCGGCGGAAGUCUCCUCGUUCAGCGCAAGUCUUCUGUCAAACAUAUAACAUAAUUAGGCCCGCAGAAAAUUUUUUAUUUACUUAGUUGUAUAUCCGUUUGAUUAUUGAUGUAAACGUUUACGUGUCGUAUCUAAAAGCGCAUGUUAAACGCGUGUCAACGCGCUGCUUUGUUCUUUCAAAAGUGCAUGAGAGGUUGCGCGUCUUUCGUUGCUACGCAAUCAUGAGACGCGCUUUCUGUGACAGCGAGAAUAAGGAAUACGUGAUCAGAUUUUUCAUCUGCACCUCAUGUCAAUCAUAUCAUUGUCACAAUGCGAUCAGCUGGUCGGGACACGGAGGAGCUGUAACCCGGGCUUACUCAGCUGUUACUCAGCUGCGGAGGGGUUCGUUAGUAAAGUCACAGCUUACAUUGACAACACAAGCAAAGAUUAGGAGAAACAUGCAAAAGAUCAAAGAUGGCUAUGUAUGCAGCUCACUAAUCUCAAAAUGAGUGUAUAAUAAGUAUAUCAUCAUGUUGCUUCCUAUGCAGUUACACAUAGAGCAGUAAUAUUAUUUUUAUACAGAGAUGGUACAUAGCCAAUUCAAUACUGUGAGUUAAACAAUCCAAAAUAAAUCAAAACAGAACAUUUUUGGUGUCAAAAAUGUAGGCUAAUUGUUGAUAAAUGUAUUCAGGAAUUGAAUUUGUUAGUUCAAGGUUUUAGUAGAAAAAGUUUAAGAAAAGGUUAAGAAAAGAGUUACCUUCUGUUAUAAAAUAAUGUAAAAAAGAACUUUGCAGUAGUAUUUUAUUUAUUAUUUUUCAUUUUAUAUAUAUUUUAUAUGUUAUAUUUUAAUAAAAAGUGUUUAAAAAAGUGUAAACAAAUUGUAAAAAAAGUUUAUAGUAAUAAACAACCUGCAGUUUAAUGUUUGCAUUUUCCCCUUACUGAACCGAAAAUGAACCGAACCGUGGCUUCAAAACCGGGGUUCGCACCGAACCGUGAUUUUUGCGUACCGUUACACCCCUAAUAUAUAUAUAUAUAUAUAUAUAUAUAUAU